GAGUUUGAUUAUGGCUCCAGAUUGAACGCUGGCGGGAUGCUUUACACGUAGGUCGAACUGGCAGCACGGACUUCGGUCUGGUGGCGAGUGGCGAACGGGUGAGCAAUGUCGGAACAUGCUAGUGGCGGGGGAUAACUACGCAAGCGUAGCUAAUACCAUACGCCCUUCGGGGAAAAAGCAGGGGACCGGCUUCUCGGGCCUCGCACUAUUGCGACGGCCGAUAUCGGAUUAGCUAGUUGGUGGGGUAACAGCUCACCAAGGCGACGAUCCGUAGCUGGUUUAGAGAGGACGACCAGCCACACUGGGACUGAGACCUGGCCCAGACUCCACGGGAAGCGGCAGUGGGGAAUUUUGGACAGUAGGAAACCCUGAUCCAGCCAUCCCGCGUGUGCGAUGAAGGCCUUCGAAUUUGUAAAGCACUUUGGCAGGAAAAACGGCACGGGGAUAAUACCGUGCAGCUGACGGUACCUGCAGAAUAAGCACCGGCUAACUACGUGCCAGCGGCCGCGCCGGUAAUACGUAGGGUGCAAGCGUUAAUCAGAUUUACUAGACUAAAGCGUGCGCAGGCGGUUCGGAAAGAAGAUGUGAUCCCAGAGCUUAACUUUGUGGAACUGCGUUUUAACUACCGAGCUAGAGUGUGUCAGAGGAGAUGGAAUUCCGCGUGUAGCAGUGAAGUGCGUAGAUAUGCGGAGGAACACCGAUGGCGAGGCGGCCUCCUGGGAUAACACUGACGCUCAUGCACAGCGUGGGAGCAAACAGGAUUGAAUACCCUGGUAGUCCACGCCCUAAACGAUGUCAACUAGCUGUUGGGGCCUUCGGGCCUUGGUGACGCAACUAACGCGUGAGUUCGACCGCCUGGGGGUACAGUCGCAAGAUUAAAACUCAAAGGAAUUGACAAGGACCCACCUAAGCGGUGGAUGAUGUGGAUUAAUUCGAUGCAACGCGAAAAAACCGCCCGCCCACCUUGACAUGUCUGGAAUCCCCGAAGAGAUUUGGGAGUGCUCGCAAGAGAACCGGAGACACAGGUGCUGCAUAGCUGUCGUCAGCUCGUGUCGUGAGAUGUUGGGUUAAGUCCCGCAACAGCGCAACCCAUGUCGUGGAUUGCUGCCGAGGAGCUGCUCUAAUGGGACUGCCGGUGACAAACCGGAGGAAGGUGGGGAUGACGUCAAGUCCUCAUGGCCACACCAUGGGUAGGGCUUCACACGUCAUACAAUGGUCAGGACAGAGGGUCGCCAACCCGCGAAGAGGAGCCAAUCCAGAAACCCGAUCAUCAGUCCGGAUCGCAGUCUGCUCGACUGCGUGAGUCGGAAUCGCUAAUCGCGGAUCAGCAUGUCGCGGUGAAUACGUUCCCGGGUCUUGUACACACCGCCCGUCCUACCAUGGGAGUGGGUUUUGCAGAAGCGGAUUAGCCUAACCGUAAGGAGGCGAUUACCACGGUAGGAUUCAUGACUGGGGGUGAAGUCGUAACAAGGUAA
RNAcentral lists this ribosomal RNA (1475 nucleotides) under uncultured Bordetella sp. Its description in RNAcentral is "partial 16S-23S ribosomal RNA intergenic spacer". It matches the Rfam family "Bacterial small subunit ribosomal RNA". Lineage: Bacteria; Pseudomonadati; Pseudomonadota; Betaproteobacteria; Burkholderiales; Alcaligenaceae. The record is from RNAcentral.